GAUAUGUUGUAUUUGUUUUGUAGAGGUGGAAUCGAUAAUGCCGAUUCAUCCAUGGUGGUAAUUUGUCAUCAUCGAAACCUAUGAUCGUAUGUUAUAUGACAGUUUGCCCUUACAUCCAUGACCUUGGAUCCAAGCAAGGAAAUAUCUUUCCACCAAUGUGAGUGUUGGUGUAAGCCCUAGAGACCAAUACUUUUGGUACUUGUAUUGAAUUAUUUAUUAAUAAUAAAAGGCUUU
RNAcentral lists this long non-coding RNA (234 nucleotides) under Lathyrus oleraceus (garden pea). RNAcentral's name for it is "Pisum sativum (pea) long non-coding RNA (PSAT_LNC030631)". Lineage: Eukaryota; Viridiplantae; Streptophyta; Magnoliopsida; Fabales; Fabaceae. The record is from RNAcentral.